RNAcentral lists this long non-coding RNA (918 nucleotides) under Chinchilla lanigera (long-tailed chinchilla). RNAcentral describes it as "lncRNA (ENSCLAG00000027827.1)". Lineage: Eukaryota; Metazoa; Chordata; Mammalia; Rodentia; Chinchillidae. The record is from RNAcentral.
AUGAGAAUGAGUUUAAACAACGUCUUUGAGAAGCUUUCCAUAAGAGAGAAAUUUAAAAGAGCUGACAUAAAGUUUAGAACAGGGCAAAGGAUCAGACACUAUGGAGUUUUAUGCAACUGUCUUAACUGCCUCUUUUUAGUUUCAUUUAGUUUCAUGUUUGUGCUGAUUCUCUUCCAUUCUACAGAAGUACCACCAGUGGUCCUCCAGAAGAGCAAUGAUCACAUCUCCUACCUAAUACUUCCAAGACCAGCAUGGAGGUCACUUCUUCUCAUCGUAUAUUUUGGAGGACAAGUCUGGAAAUAUACCUGAAGAUUUCUACAUCUACCACUACGGGGAAAAAUAACAGUAAAACAACCAAAGACUGCCAAGUUAGAUGCCUCCCUCUUUGGUCACAAAUAGAGUGCCAAGUCUGAAACAGCCUGCAAGCCCUUGGAUUCAGGACAGGACUCUCUUCACUCAGCACUGAGGUCUGUGUAAUUCGCAGCCUUACCUUUGUACAAGUCUAUUCCCUCUUACUUCAUUUUCUGCAGUUAAAGACUGUGCCCACAAAAUGUAGAAUAGAUAUCGUGAAAUAGGAAGAAAAUGCUCAAACGGGAAGGAGAACUUGGGUGGGGGAGGAAGGAAGAAAGAGAAUAGAAAAAAAUGAGCAAAGAAGGAAAAAAUGAAAACAAAACACGUAAAUAAGGAGGGGAAGAGGCAUUGAUGGGAGAGGAGGGGAAUGGGAAAAAAAGAACCAAGUUACAUCGUGCCCAGGUACAGAUUCCCUGUGAUGAAUGUGAUCAUUGUGUAGACCUAAAAUGUACCUAUAAACUCAUUAAUUAAAAAAUAAAAGAACGAAAACUAUGUCCAGGACAUGAUAUACUCAUACAGAGCAUUUAGCACCCAACCUACUUAUUCCACACUUAAUUCCAAAUUUGC